UUACUCUCCUGAUAGCAAGGAGUGAAGCUGUGCAGCAAGUCUCUGGUGGGGUGAGGAGACAGCUCAGGGGAAAAGGCUUGGUAGGAAGGAUUCUGGUGGACUGAACGUUGACAACCUGUCCUAGGGUUUCUGGAGUGGAACCCUGUGUAGCAGGUGGGCCUGGGUUCCCUGCCCGCUGCUGGUAGGUGGCAAGGAGCACCUGAGAAGGGGACAACGGGGAGAGCUGAGGAAAAAGUGCUUGGACCAUUGGUCCCAGAACCGAGGGUGUGAGCCUGGAUGGAGGGAAUGGACUCUCUUGCUGACCUUUGUCACGCUGGCAGGGGGGAUAAAGCAUGACCUCUCCGGAGGGCUGAAUUACAAGAAGAGACAGACCGCUAUGGGGCUGCAGUGACUGUCAGCUGGGGUGCUAGAAAAGGAGAGCCUGCUAUGCCGUGCCCAGCCAUGAAGGGCUGUUCUAGGGGGAGCUUCUUAACCCAGGGACCCUGCUGCAGGGUAACACGGCUGGAUCCACAGGUGCCUGCUACUCUUUAUGCCUGAAAAUUAAUAGAGACAGAAGCAGAAGGCAAAGCCAGUGGGAAGGGGCAGCGUUUUCAGCCAGGAUUCUUCAUCUGCAGCAGGCAGUGGCAUUCUGGGCAACGCCAGCCAGCACAUUUCACCAGGAUCCAUGUGGAGUGUGGCCCCAUCUCCAUGGACUAUUCUGUCUUGGGAUGAUUGGUAUCAAUCCUAGUGUUGAUCUUUGACUCCUGACCCAAACUUGCAGCCCGCACCUGCUUCUAAAACAGAACCAACUCCAAACCCAAGUGCUGUGAUGCUGCAGUUGGAACCUGUUGCUACGAACAACUAAGAUGACAUGAGCCAUCAGCCUCAUUCCCCACAGUGACCUAAGCCGGGACUGUAGAGCUUUUGAAAAAGUUUAACAAAUAGUGCUGAAAACCGAGGGAGGAGAGAGAGAAUGAAUUAUCCUGGUGAUUGGAAGACAAAGCACUUCUUUGCUGCUGCUGUUUAGGUGGAUGAUGAACUGUGCCAAAAAAUGAAGAGGAGAAAAAUGAAAGAAAGAAAGAAAGAAAGAAAGAACCUCUUCAGGGUGUUUAUCCAACCAGCAUGUUUGCUCAUUUUGUAUCUUAGCUCAUGCAUAAUGCCAAUGAGAUGGAAAGAACCUGCUUUGCUAUCAAGGGGGACAAAGGCAGCAGAUCUGUGGUUCACCAUGGGCUAUCGGCAAAUGUAGGCAGGCUAAUGAAUCAAUCUAUCUUCUGGAUCCACUGGACCAAACGUGCACAUAUGCAGGGAAGCAGCAGACAGCGUCUACUACUCUCACCUUCGGAUUCACUCGCAGUAGCUGUGCCACAGCCCGGCAGCUGCCUCAGCAGUUGAAGGAUGAGGAUUCCAUGCACAUUUCCAUGGGGAAAAUUACUUUUCAUUCCAGAUUUGCUCCAUGUUCCAGCAUUUGGCCUUUUUGUGCAUUCCAAAAGCAAAUGAAACGGCAGCUGGAAAGUGAAGACUCCAGGACUGUCUCAAUGGCACUUUGUUCAUCUCAUCCAUUUGGAGACCCUCUAGUGCUCUAAUAACCGUUAUUGCAGCCUCAUAUAGCCCUCUUAGGUAUCGUAUCUACUCUGCAGAUGGGGAAGAUAAGCAUGGAGAUACCACAGAGCUUAGCACAGGGAAUGGCUUAGAAAAAAAAGCUACCCUCCACCACAGAGGGAUUGUAUGACUUUAUCCAACUUCUCACCAUGAGUCUGUGGCACUGCCAAAACUAGAACCCAGGAAGCCUGACACCCAGCCCUGGUCUUUAGCCAAUGUCCAUUCACCCU
Long non-coding RNA from Mauremys reevesii (Reeves's turtle), 1808 nucleotides. RefSeq lists it as uncharacterized. The record is from RefSeq and is a predicted model, not a curated record. The transcript is spliced from 6 exons. Lineage: Eukaryota; Metazoa; Chordata; Testudines; Geoemydidae.